UACGUAGGGGGCUAGCGUUGUCCGGAAUCAUUGGGCGUAAAGCGCGUGUAGGCGGUCCGGUAAGUCCGCUGUGAAAGUCGGGGGCUCAACCCUCGAAUGCCGGUGGAUACUGUCGGGCUAGAGUGCGGAAGAGGCGAGUGGAAUUCCUGGUGUAGCGGUGAAAUGCGCAGAUAUCGGGAAGAACACCCGUGGCGAAGGCGGUUCUCUGGGACGGUACUGACGCUGAGACGCGAAAGCGUGGGGAGCGAACAGG
RNAcentral lists this ribosomal RNA (253 nucleotides) under uncultured bacterium. RNAcentral's name for it is "partial 16S ribosomal RNA". It matches the Rfam family "Bacterial small subunit ribosomal RNA", at positions 524 to 776 of the family's 1533-position model. The record is from RNAcentral.